Molecule: ribosomal RNA, 503 nt
Filed under: uncultured bacterium
Lineage: Bacteria
Description: partial 16S ribosomal RNA
Rfam family: Bacterial small subunit ribosomal RNA
Source: RNAcentral
AUUGAACGCUGGCGGCAGGCUUAACACAUGCAAGUCGAGCGGGGUGAUGGUGCUUGCACUAUCACUUAGCGGCGGACGGGUGAGUAAUGCUUAGGAAUCUGCCUAUUAGUGGGGGACAACAUCUCGAAAGGGAUGCUAAUACCGCAUACGUCCUACGGGAGAAAGCAGGGGAUCACUUGUGACCUUGCGCUAAUAGAUGAGCCUAAGUCGGAUUAGCUAGUUGGUGGGGUAAAGGCCUACCAAGGCGACGAUCUGUAGCGGGCCUGGGAGGAUGAUCCGCCACACUGGGACUGAGACACGGCCCAGACUCCUACGGGAGGCAGCAGUGGGGAAUAUUGGACAAUGGGGGGAACCCUGAUCCAGCCAUGCCGCGUGUGUGAAGAAGGCCUUAUGGUUGUAAAGCACUUUAAGCGAGGAGGAGGCUCUUUUGGUUAAUACCCAAGAUGAGUGGACGUUACUCGCAGAAUAAGCACCGGCUAACUCUGUGCCAGCAGCCGCCGUAA